AUUGAACGCUGGCGGCAGGCCUAACACAUGCAAGUCGAAUGGUAACAGGAAACAGCUUGCUGUUUCGCUGACGAGUGGCGGACGGGUGAGUAAUGUCUGGGAAGCUGCCUGAUGGAGGGGGAUAACUACUGGAAACGGUAGCUAAUACCGCAUAACGUCGCAAGACCAAAGAGGGGGACCUUCGGGCCUCUUGCCAUCAGAUGUGCCCAGAUGGGAUUAGCUAGUAGGUGGGGUAACGGCUCACCUAGGCGACGAUCCCUAGCUGGUCUGAGAGGAUGACCAGCCACACUGGAACUGAGACACGGUCCAGACUCCUACGGGAGGCAGCAGUGGGGAAUAUUGCACAAUGGGCGCAAGCCUGAUGCAGCCAUGCCGCGUGUAUGAAGAAGGCCUUCGGGUUGUAAAGUACUUUCAGCGGGGAGGAAGGGAGUAAAGUUAAUACCUUUGCUCAUUGACGUUACCCGCAGAAGAAGCACCGGCUAACUCCGUG
This 490-nucleotide ribosomal RNA is filed under the name uncultured bacterium. RNAcentral describes it as "partial 16S ribosomal RNA". It matches the Rfam family "Bacterial small subunit ribosomal RNA", at positions 30 to 507 of the family's 1533-position model. The record is from RNAcentral.